Molecule: ribosomal RNA, 874 nt
Filed under: Sporobolomyces aff. pararoseus 1 MCA 3582
Lineage: Eukaryota; Fungi; Basidiomycota; Microbotryomycetes; Sporidiobolales; Sporidiobolaceae
Also listed under: 1 other name
Description: eukaryotic LSU rRNA
Rfam family: Eukaryotic large subunit ribosomal RNA
Source: RNAcentral
AAGCGGAGGAAAAGAAACUAACAAGGAUUCCCCUAGUAGCGGCGAGCGAAGCGGGAAAAGCUCAAAUUUGUAAUCUGGCGUCUACGACGUCCGAGUUGUAAUCUCGAGAAGUGUUUUCCGUGAUAGACCGCAUACAAGUCUCUUGGAACAGAGCGUCACAGUGGUGAGAACCCAGUACACGAUGCGGAUGCCUAUUACUUUGUGAUACACUUUCGAAGAGUCGAGUUGUUUGGGAAUGCAGCUCAAAUUGGGUGGUAAAUUCCAUCUAAAGCUAAAUAUUGGCGAGAGACCGAUAGCGAACAAGUACCGUGAGGGAAAGAUGAAAAGCACUUUGGAAAGAGAGUUAACAGUACGUGAAAUUGUUGGAAGGGAAACACAUGCAGUGAUACUUGCUAUUCGGGGCAACUCGAUUGGCAGGCCCGCAUCAGUUUUUCGGGGCGGAAAAGCAUAGAGAGAAGGUAGCAGUUUCGGCUGUGUUAUAGCUCUUUAUUGGAUUCGCCCUGGGGGACUGAGGAACGCAGCGUGCUUUUAGCAUGAGCUUCGGCUUAUCCACGCUUAGGAUGCGGGUUUAUGGCUGUAUAUGACCCGUCUUGAAACACGGACCAAGGAGUCUAACAUGCUUGCGAGUAUUUGGGUGUCAAACCCGGAUGCGCAAUGAAAGUGAAUGGAGGUGGGAAGCGCAAGCUGCACCAUCGACCGAUCUGGAUUUUUUAAGAUGGAUUUGAGUAAGAGCAAGUAUGUUGGGACCCGAAAGAUGGUGAACUAUGCCUGAAUAGGGCGAAGCCAGAGGAAACUCUGGUGGAGGCUCGUAGCGGUUCUGACGUGCAAAUCGAUCGUCAAAUUUGGGUAUAGGGGCGAAAGACUAAUCGAACCA